This 181-nucleotide ribosomal RNA is filed under the name Cales sp. D3465. Its description in RNAcentral is "partial 28S ribosomal RNA". It matches the Rfam family "Eukaryotic large subunit ribosomal RNA", at positions 744 to 912 of the family's 3401-position model. The record is from RNAcentral. Lineage: Eukaryota; Metazoa; Arthropoda; Insecta; Hymenoptera; Calesidae.
UUCGCGUCUCGAUGCGAGCUCGCACUCCCGGGGCGUCUCGUCUCAUUGCGAGCUGAGGCGCACCCAGAGCGUACACGUUGGGACCCGAAAGAUGGUGAACUAUGCCUGGUCAGGACGAAGUCAGGGGAAACCCUGAUGGAGGUCCGUAGCGAUUCUGACGUGCAAAUCGAUCGUCGGAACU